RNAcentral lists this ribosomal RNA (443 nucleotides) under uncultured bacterium. RNAcentral describes it as "partial 16S ribosomal RNA". It matches the Rfam family "Bacterial small subunit ribosomal RNA", at positions 338 to 795 of the family's 1533-position model. The record is from RNAcentral.
CCUACGGGUGGCAGCAGUGGGGGAUAUUGGACAAUGGGGGGAACCCUGAUCCAGCGACGCCGCGUGCGUGAAGAAGUAUUUCGGUAUGUAAAGCUCUGUCAGCAGGGAAGAAAGAAAUGACGGUACCUGACCACGAAGCCCCGGCUAAAUACGUGCCAGCAGCCGCGGUAAUACGUAGGGGGCAAGCGUUAUCCGGAAUUACUGGGUGUAAAGGGAGCGUAGACGGCCAGACAAGUCAGAAGUGAAAGCCCAGGGGUCAACCCUGGGACUGCUUUUGAAACUGCCGGGCUGGAGUGCAGGAGAGGUAAGCGGAAUGCGUAGUGUAGCGGUGAAAGGCGUAGAUAUUAGGAGGAACACCAGUGGCGAAGGCGGCUUACUGGACUGUAACUGACGUUGAGGCUCGAAAGCGUGGGGAGCAAACAGGAUUAGAUACCCGGGUAGUC